AUUGAACGCUGGCGGCAUGCCUUACACAUGCAAGUCGAACGGCAGCACGGGUGCUUGCACCUGGUGGCGAGUGGCGAACGGGUGAGUAAUACAUCGGAACAUGUCCUGUAGUGGGGGAUAGCCCGGCGAAAGCCGGAUUAAUACCGCAUACGAUCUACGGAUGAAAGCGGGGGACCUUCGGGCCUCGCGCUAUAGGGUUGGCCGAUGGCUGAUUAGCUAGUUGGUGGGGUAAAGGCCUACCAAGGCGACGAUCAGUAGCUGGUCUGAGAGGACGACCAGCCACACUGGGACUGAGACACGGCCCAGACUCCUACGGGAGGCAGCAGUGGGGAAUUUUGGACAAUGGGCGAAAGCCUGAUCCAGCAAUGCCGCGUGUGUGAAGAAGGCCUUCGGGUUGUAAAGCACUUUUGUCCGGAAAGAAAUCCUUGGCCCUAAUACGGUCGGGGGAUGACGGUACCGGAAGAAUAAGCAUCGGCUAACUACGUG
This 486-nucleotide ribosomal RNA is filed under the name uncultured bacterium. RNAcentral describes it as "partial 16S ribosomal RNA". It matches the Rfam family "Bacterial small subunit ribosomal RNA", at positions 30 to 507 of the family's 1533-position model. The record is from RNAcentral.